Molecule: ribosomal RNA, 773 nt
Filed under: uncultured bacterium
Lineage: Bacteria
Description: bacterial SSU rRNA
Rfam family: Bacterial small subunit ribosomal RNA
Source: RNAcentral
AGAGUUUGAUCCUGGCUCAGGACGAACGCUGGCGGCGUGCUUAACACAUGCAAGUCGAACGGAAAGGCCCUUCGGGGUACUCGAGUGGCGAACGGGUGAGUAACACGUGGGUGAUCUGCCCUGCACUUUGGGAUAAGCCUGGGAAACUGGGUCUAAUACCGAAUAUGACCACGCUCUUCAUGGGGUGUGGUGGAAAGCUUUUGCGGUGUGGGAUGGGCCCGCGGCCUAUCAGCUUGUUGGUGGGGUAAUGGCCUACCAAGGCGACGACGGGUAGCCGGCCUGAGAGGGUGACCGGCCACACUGGGACUGAGAUACGGCCCAGACUCCUACGGGAGGCAGCAGUGGGGAAUAUUGCACAAUGGGCGCAAGCCUGAUGCAGCGACGCCGCGUGAGGGAUGACGGCCUUCGGGUUGUAAACCUCUUUCAUCAGGGACGAAGCGCAAGUGACGGUACCUGGAGAAGAAGCACCGGCCAACUACGUGCCAGCAGCCGCGGUAAUACGUAGGGUGCGAGCGUUGUCCGGAAUUACUGGGCGUAAAGAGCUCGUAGGUGGUUUGUCGCGUUGUUCGUGAAAACUCACAGCUUAACUGUGGGCGUGCGGGCGAUACGGGCAGACUAGAGUACUGCAGGGGAGACUGGAAUUCCUGGUGUAGCGGUGGAAUGCGCAGAUAUCAGGAGGAACACCGGUGGCGAAGGCGGGUCUCUGGGCAGUAACUGACGCUGAGGAGCGAAAGCGUGGGGAGCGAACAGGAUUAGAUACCCUGGUAGUCCAA